This 395-nucleotide unclassified non-coding RNA is filed under the name soil metagenome. RNAcentral describes it as "partial contains 5.8S ribosomal RNA, internal transcribed spacer 2, and large subunit ribosomal RNA". The stretch from base 1 to 122 matches the Rfam family "5.8S ribosomal RNA", at positions 35 to 154 of the family's 154-position model. The record is from RNAcentral.
GAUGAAGAACGUAGCGAAAUGCGAUACUUGGUGUGAAUUGCAGAAUCCCGUGAACCAUCGAGUCUUUGAACGCAAGUUGCGCCCGAAGCCAUCAGGUUGAGGGCACGUCUGCCUGGGCGUCACAUAUCGUUGCCCAAUGCCUAUUGCAGUGCAAUAGGAAUUUCUAGGGCGAAUGAUGGCUUCCCGUGAGCGUUGUUGCCUCGCGGUUGGUUGAAAAUCGAGUCCUUGGUAGGGUGUGCCAUGGUAGAUGGUGGUCGAGUUAGAACGAUACCGAUCAUGUGCAUGCUCCCUAAAAUAUGGCCUCUAUGACCCACACGCGUCUUUUGACGCUCAUGACGAGACCUCAGGUCAGGCGGGGCUACCCGCUGAAUUUAAGCAUAUCAAUAAGCGGAGGA